This 497-nucleotide ribosomal RNA is filed under the name uncultured bacterium. Its description in RNAcentral is "partial 16S ribosomal RNA". It matches the Rfam family "Bacterial small subunit ribosomal RNA", at positions 28 to 507 of the family's 1533-position model. The record is from RNAcentral.
GAUGAACGCUGGCGGCGUGCCUAAUACAUGCAAGUCGAGCGAACAGACGAGGAGCUUGCUCCUCUGACGUUAGCGGUGGACGGUUGAGUAACACGUGGAUAACCUACCUUUAAGCCUGGGAUAACUUCGUGAAACCGGAUCUAAUACCGGAUUACAUGCUGAACCGCAUGGUUCAUCUUUGAAAGACGGUCUUGCUUUCGUUUCUUUAUCGAUCUGCGCCGCAUUAGCUAGUUGGUAAGGUAUCGGUUUACCAAGGCAACGAUGCGUAGCCGACGUGCGAGGGUGAUCGGACGCACUGGAACUGAGACACAGUGCAGAGCCCGACGGGAGGCGGCAGUAGGGGAGCUUCAGCAAUGGGCGAGAGCGUGACGAAGAAACAGCGCGUGAGUGAAGAAGGUAUAAGGAUCGUAGAACGCUGUUGUUAGGGAAGAACAAAGGAAGAAGUAACUAGGGACAGCUUGACGGUACCUAAUCAAAAAGCAACGGCUAACUACGUG